This is a long non-coding RNA of Anthonomus grandis grandis, 1116 nucleotides long. RefSeq lists it as uncharacterized. The record is from RefSeq and is a predicted model, not a curated record. The transcript is spliced from 4 exons. NCBI's taxonomy places the organism in Eukaryota, Metazoa, Arthropoda, Insecta, Coleoptera, Curculionidae.
GAUAAACGCAAUAAAUAGAGGUGAUCUAAUUGCGAAAAAUUAAGCGACGAGUAUUUCGGAUUUUUCGUUUUCCGAAUCAUAUUAGAACGUUUUGAUAUGCGGGGGUUUAGUCAUCCGCGAAAUUCUUUCGCUCUAUACAGCGACGGAUCGCGUCUUACGGUGUAAAAACACGUGACAGAACAUUUGAUUUUUAUUUAUGUAUUUUGUUUGAUUGUUUGAAUUUAUUGGAUAAGGUCGGGAAGCUUUUUAUGGGAUUUAAGGAUGAUUUAAGGUUUCAGACAUUAACAACAAUAACAACCACGAGUGCAAUACCGGAUAUCUCGACAUUCAAAUAAAAACGGACCACAGUGUAGCUACUGUAUCUGAAUAGAUGCUGAAAAUGAGCCAAUUUUAAGAAUGGUUAUUCAGAGAAAACCUAUGAAAAAUCGGUGAAAGAAUAUUGAGGACAACCAAUACAAUGAGAGCCUGAUAUCAAACUUCCGGAAACUUGAUCGUAUCAAAAUUGUAACUUAAAAUAAAAAUACUACUUAUAAUCAAUAGUACUUUUUAUUAAAAAACCUAAAAUGUAUGCCUAAAUUUCUGAAAUGAUUUAAUUAAGUGUUCAAGUUAGGAAAUUUUUUGCAGGUAAACAGUAGCUGGGAAAACGAUGGAUUUUAGGGAAGUUUGUAUUCAAAAUUAGGAAUUUGUUGUAAACGUUGUUCAACUAGGAUAAAUUUUAUAUUUGCAAUAAAAUUAGUGCUGAAAAAAUGAUGGAAAUUCCGGGUAAUUCUUGCCAAAACGUAUUAAAUGUACGUGAAAACCUUUUUCUGAAAAAUUGUGUCAUUUUUAUUUAAAUUCUCGAAAAUAUCAAAAAUCUUAAACGAAUUACAUCAAAGUUGAAUUCCAUCAAUUUUUUGUUUCAAAAUAUAAACUGAUUUUCAUUAAAUUUGUUACAUAAUUAGAACAUAGCUUGAACUAGGAAUAGUGGUGAAAUUAUGGGUAAUUUUUAUCAAAAAUCACGAUUUUCAAGGGUCAACAAUACAUAAUAUGAGAUAAGGAACAUCUUGUGUUUAUGAUAAGAUAUACAAUUAAGAAAAAUUUAAUUAAAAUUUUUAGGCUAAAUAUAGCUGCAGAAAA